Molecule: long non-coding RNA, 256 nt
Organism: Dermochelys coriacea (leatherback sea turtle)
Lineage: Eukaryota; Metazoa; Chordata; Testudines; Dermochelyidae
Exons: 3
Source: RefSeq, a predicted model, not a curated record
GAUCCAAAACAUUUUACAAAUGGGUGUAAUCUGCCCCUCUGCAGUGCCUGGGCAUCUCCAGUGGUUCUAGUUCCCAAACCAGAUGGGGAGAUUCGUUUUUGCGUGAACUACCAUAAGUUAAAUGCUGUAGCUCGCCCAGACAACUAUCCAAUACCACGCACAGAUGAACUAUUGGAGAAAGUGGGAUGGGCCCAGUUCAUCUCUACCUUGGACUUAACCAAGGGGUACUGGCAGGUACCGCUAGAUGAAUCCGCCA